UGUUUCCCGAUUUUAAAAGGAGCUAGUGGCUUUAUUUUAGUUAUUGUUUCAUAAUUAUUAAUAAUAGGCUGUUGGUGGUGAAAUGUUAUUCGUCUUUAGUGGUUUCUGGUUUUCCAAGAAAUGAAUUUAAUUCAUGCUCCUUGUUUAGAUUUUUACUGUUAUUUAUUUGUCUUUAUUUGGUGUUAAGAUUAAGGGGGAUUAGCUCCUUAUUUUAUUUUUAUAAUUUUUUGUGGAUUUAGUUUUGUGGAUUUUAUGGUGAUUUUCAAUUUGAUUAUGUUAAAAUUUUAUUUGUCUCUUUAUUUAUUUAUGGUUUAUUUAAUUAUUUAUUGGAAUGUUUUCUUUGCUUUAUGGUUUGGAUUGUAAUUAUUAUGGAAUUAGUAAAUUGUUUGUUGAAUUGUUUGUAUAUGUGUUUAAUUUCUUUUGAGGAAUUAGGCAAAUUUUUGUGUCCGCCUGUUUAACAAAAACAUCUUUUCUCGUUAGUUUUUGAAGUAUGGCCUGCCCACUGACUUGGAGUUAAAGGGCCGCGGUAUUUUGACCGUGCAAAGGUAGCAUAAUCAUUAGUUCUUUAAUUGUGAUCUGGAAUGAAUGGCUUGACGAGACACAAGCUGUCUUAAUUUGGAAUAGUUUUAUUGAAUUUGGUUUUUGAGUUAAAAUUCUUAAAUGUUUUUAUGGGACGAGAAGACCCUAUAGAGUUUGACAUUUGGUUUAUUUAUUUGGUUGUUUGUUAUUUGUUGUUGCUGAGUGGGCCAUUUGUUUUGUUGGGGUGAUGAGAGGAAUAUGGUUCAACUCCUCUUUAUUUUGUUUAUAUUGAUUUAUAGUUGCUUGAU
RNAcentral lists this ribosomal RNA (827 nucleotides) under Heterotermes tenuior. Its description in RNAcentral is "partial 16S ribosomal RNA". The stretch from base 366 to 615 matches the Rfam family "Bacterial large subunit ribosomal RNA", at positions 1704 to 2025 of the family's 2925-position model. The record is from RNAcentral. Lineage: Eukaryota; Metazoa; Arthropoda; Insecta; Blattodea; Rhinotermitidae.